This 468-nucleotide ribosomal RNA is filed under the name uncultured bacterium. Its description in RNAcentral is "partial 16S ribosomal RNA". It matches the Rfam family "Bacterial small subunit ribosomal RNA", at positions 28 to 507 of the family's 1533-position model. The record is from RNAcentral.
GACGAACGCUGGCGGCGUGCUUAACACAUGCAAGUCGAACGGUAAGGCCCUGUUGGUGUUGCAUGAGUGGCGGACGAGUGAGUAAGUCAUAGGUGAGCAACCCGCCCUUGUUUUUUGGGUAUGUUCAGGUAAGUCUAGUUACUACCAGAUCUAAGCUACUCCUGCAUUGUGGGGGUUGGCAUUUGUCGGCGGUGGGGGAUGGACUCGCGGCUUAUCAGCUUGUUGGUGGGGUGGUGGCAUACAAAGGCACUGACGGGUAGCCGGCCUGAGAGGGUGACCGGCCACACUGGGACUGAGAUACGGCCCAGACUCCUACGGGAGGCAGCAGUGGGGAAUAUUGCACAAUGGGCGGAAGCCUGAUGCAGCGACGCCGCGUGCGGGAUGACGGCCUUCGGGUUGUAAACCGCUUUCGGCUGUGACGAAGCGUGAGUGACGGUAAUGGGAGAAGAAGCACCGGCUAACUACGUG